AUUGAACGCUGGCGGCAGGCUUAACACAUGCAAGUCGAGCGGGGGAAGGUAGCUUGCUACCGGACCUAGCGGCGGACGGGUGAGUAAUGCUUAGGAAUCUGCCCAUUAGUGGGGGACAACAUCUCGAGAGGGAUGCUAAUACCGCAUACGUCCUACGGGAGAAAGCAGGGGAUCUUCGGACCUUGCGCUAAUAGAUGAGCCUAAGUCGGAUUAGCUAGUUGGUGGGGUAAAGGCCUACCAAGGCGACGAUCUGUAGCGGGUCUGAGAGGAUGAUCCGCCACACUGGGACUGAGACACGGCCCAGAAUCCUACGGGAGGCAGCAGUGGGGAAUAUUGGACAAUGGGGGGAACCCUGAUCCAGCCAUGCCGCGUGUGUGAAGAAGGCCUUAUGGUUGUAAAGCACUUUAAGCGAGGAGGAGGCUACUCUAGUUAAUACCUAGGGAUAGUGGACGUUACUCGCAGAAUAAGCACCGGCUAACUCUGUGCCAGCCGCCGCCGUAA
RNAcentral lists this ribosomal RNA (501 nucleotides) under uncultured bacterium. Its description in RNAcentral is "partial 16S ribosomal RNA". It matches the Rfam family "Bacterial small subunit ribosomal RNA", at positions 30 to 523 of the family's 1533-position model. The record is from RNAcentral.